This is a long non-coding RNA of Dicentrarchus labrax (European seabass), 1899 nucleotides long. RefSeq lists it as uncharacterized. NCBI's taxonomy places the organism in Eukaryota, Metazoa, Chordata, Actinopteri, Moronidae. The transcript is spliced from 2 exons. The record is from RefSeq and is a predicted model, not a curated record.
CAGCGCAGCCUUGUUAUUAUUAUAAUUCAGAGUCACUGGAGUUCGCUGCUUUUCUCUCGCACGGGGCGUUUUCAGGAAAUGUGUAUGUAGUCUGUCAGAGCUGCGUUUUAAGGUGGACUGGACUCUUUGUGACUGUCAACUACAGUAUGCUCGCUUCUGCUUUUGUAAUAUGCAGAUUGUGUUGGGAUUUUUUUUUCGGAAAAUAUGUUCUUUGGGUGAGUUUUCUGGCCACAGCAGGAAAUAUAAUGUAAAACCUCCCCUAAUAGCUUCCAUAAUAUAUAUUACCAUGUUUUUGUAACUCCCUAUAAUCUGGCUCUGAUUUCCACUAUUACUGUAUGCAGUUGUAAACCUACAUUUAAAGCUAUACUUAAGCUGAAUAUCAUACAGUACAGCAGUGGUGCCCAACCUUUUUCCUUAAGGGACCCCUCUUCUAUCAUUUAGUAAACUGACGACCCCUGAUUAAAUGACAUAUUUUAUAUAUAUAUUUCAUUUUACAUUCCGAACUGUACAAUGAACCUAAACAGUGAAUUCAGAAACUGCAAGAAGUUUGUGUAAACGAGGGAUUUGGAUGAAUUCUGAGCAGAUUACUUUCUGUUUAGGGAACAUUUUAUACAAUUCUCUGUCUGUAUUAUGUAUUUUUUUAUUAUUUUUUUUGUUAAGAAUCAUACGGACUUACUCGGCUACGUUUUUUGACAAAUUCAGUGUUUUCGUGUCCCUGACGUUUGGCCAUUCUUCUGUUAGACAAUUAAUUGACUUAUUUUUCUUCACAGAAGUGAACCAAAUGCUGAGAUAUGGGCCUACUGUGUAUAUUUUUUAAGUUUUCUAGCACAGCUUAAAAUCAAGAAGGCCUCGCUACCCCCUAGUGGGGCUCCAUACCCAACUGUACAGAGCCCAAAAAACUAACACAUAACACAAACGGCCACAAAGUUAGUGUGGGGACUUCCAGCAGAUUAUGGAUUUGCUCCCAUUCAGCUAGAAGAGCAUUAGAUGGGCCACUGAUGUUGGUCGAUGUUCCCCCUCCAAGGUGUCCAGUGGGCUUGAAUAUCUUCCACACUGAACUGGAAAACAAUUUCUUUACAGGCCUGGCUUUGUGCAUAGGGGCAUUGUCAUGUUGAAACAGGAAAGGGCCUUCCCCAAACUGCUGCCACAACACUGGAAGAACACUAUUGUCUCAACUAUCACUGUGUGCUGCAGAAUUAGGACUUCCCUUUAAAUUUCUUGGAACUAAGGAGCCUAACCCAAAUCAUGGAAAACCGCCCUAUUGACCGAAAGCAUUCAGAUGUAUGUAGACAGAUGUGUCCACAUACAUUUAGACAUGUAAUGCAUUUCUAAGCAGGUUUUGAGCGUGCAGUGCAGUCACAUUGGCAAAAUCAGUCCGCAUGCAUACACAAAUUCUCUUGAAUUUUGAAUGUGCAGUUGAUGGACACUAUGGGAUAACAUUAAUGGGAAUCAAUGUUAACAUCUUGUGCUGUCAUGAGCACAAGCCUCUUGUGAGUAUGAGUAGACCCUUCUGCACGGUUAUACACAGAAAGAAAGUAGUUACUGCAUGGAACUGCUCACAACAAGGUCUGUGGAUUAUCCUGAGUACCCGGGUGAUGACUCCUGGAAAGAACAUUGCUGUUGAGUUUUUAAAAUGUAUUUUUUUGGCUCUUUGUAUACCACAAGCCAAGUGCCAUCUUAUUCCAUUAUAUUGGAGAGAGGGCUGUAGAGAUGUCGGAUCUCCACGGCUGAUAUCUCCAAAGCAACUCACGCCAAAACAAUCUUCUAGAUAAAUAGCAUAACAGUGAAUAGGGAAAAUAUGUAUUUUUCAUUUUGGGGUGAACUGUUCCGGUAAGCCCGCCUUUUAGCAUUUAUAAGCAGCAUUUAAACAAUUAAUAAAUGGUUUAUAACACACUCUAA